Molecule: ribosomal RNA, 396 nt
Filed under: uncultured bacterium
Lineage: Bacteria
Description: partial 16S ribosomal RNA
Rfam family: Bacterial small subunit ribosomal RNA
Source: RNAcentral
AUACGUAGGGAGCGAGCGUUGUCCGGAAUUACUGGGUGUAAAGGGUGCGUAGGCGGGACUGCAAGUCAGAUGUGAAAUGCCGGGGCUCAACCCCGGAGCUGCAUUUGAAACUGUGGUUCUUGAGUGAGGUAGAGGUAAGCGGAAUUCCUAGUGUAGCGGUGAAAUGCGUAGAUAUCAGGAGGAACACCGGUGGCGAAGGCGGCUUAAUGGGCUUUUACGGACGCUGAGGCUCGAAAGCGUGGGGAGCAAACAGGAUUAGAUGCCCUGGUAGUCCACGCUGUAAACGAUGAUUACUAGGUGUGGGGGGACUGACCCCUUCCGUGCCGCAGUUAACACAAUAAGUAAUCCACCUGGGGAGUACGGCCGCAAGGUUGAAACUCAAAUGAAUUGACGGGG